CGGACGGGUGAGUAAUAUCUGGGAAACUGCCCGAUGGAGGGGGAUAACUACUGGAAACGGUAGCUAAUACCGCAUAACGUCGCAAGACCAAAGAGGGGGACCUUCGGGCCUCUUGCCAUCGGAUGUGCCCAGAUGGGAUUAGCUAGUAGGUGGGGUAACGGCUCACCUAGGCGACGAUCCCUAGCUGGUCUGAGAGGAUGACCAGCCACACUGGAACUGAGACACGGUCCAG
RNAcentral lists this ribosomal RNA (232 nucleotides) under uncultured bacterium. RNAcentral's name for it is "partial 16S ribosomal RNA". It matches the Rfam family "Bacterial small subunit ribosomal RNA", at positions 99 to 334 of the family's 1533-position model. The record is from RNAcentral.